This 85-nucleotide transfer RNA is filed under the name Felis catus (domestic cat). It matches the Rfam family "tRNA". From Rfam's summary of the family: Transfer RNA (tRNA) molecules are approximately 80 nucleotides in length. The record is from Rfam by way of RNAcentral. Lineage: Eukaryota; Metazoa; Chordata; Mammalia; Carnivora; Felidae. RNAcentral also lists the same sequence under 2 other names.
GCCUGGGUGGCUCAGUGGGUUAAGCGUCUGACUUCAGCUCAGGUCACGAUCUCGCGGUCCGUGAGUUCGAGCCCCGCGUCAGGCU